RNAcentral lists this transfer RNA (58 nucleotides) under Macroderma gigas (Australian ghost bat). Its description in RNAcentral is "tRNA-Ser". The record is from RNAcentral. Lineage: Eukaryota; Metazoa; Chordata; Mammalia; Chiroptera; Megadermatidae.
GAGGAAGAACGCAAGAACUGCUAACUCAUGCAACCAUGACUAACAGCAUGGCUCCCUU